Molecule: non-coding RNA, 80 nt
Organism: Schistocerca gregaria
Lineage: Eukaryota; Metazoa; Arthropoda; Insecta; Orthoptera; Acrididae
Source: the annotation of a RefSeq genome assembly
GUUCGCACUUUCCGUAGUGUAGCGGUUAUCACGUCUGCUUCACACGCAGAAGGUCCCCGGUUCGAUCCCGGGCGGGAACA